CAGAUAAAGUUAAGAUAUUAAAAUAUACUUUCAGCCUAUUUUCGCAAAAGGGGAUCAUCUCAUUACAUUUCCAACAAAAUAGCUCAUAUUUCAGAAAUUGUCUACGGAUCAACGAGGGAAGAUUGUUGGUGGGUCCGUUCAUUGUGUUUCUUCAUUUGCAAUUUUUUCUUGGCUCCUUCAAGAAAAGAGAAGUGUUUUACCAGUUAAUAAUAUGAACAUUCCAAUUGUUGGCAAUGGACUGGAAGAGUUGUAGUAGUGGGCUUAGAGAGCUAAGGCCUUUGGUGCACUUGCUUUUGCCACUUUCUAUUCAUUGGAUGGCUGAGGAAAUGACUGUUUCCGUUCUUGUUGAUGUUGUUACUAAUGCUUUGUGUCCUGGAGAAUCUACUUGCUCUCAGGCUAUUUAUCUCAAUGGUCUCCAACAAACGGUGAUUGGAAUUUUCAAGAUGGUGGUAUUACCACUCUUGGGCCAACUUGCAGAUGAUUAUGGGCGUAAACCAUUUCUACUUCUUACUAUAUCCACAUCCAUUAUUCCUUUUGCUUUGUUUGCCUGGAACCAAUCUAAAGGAUUUGUUUAUGCAUUCUAUGUACUUCGUACAAUUUCAUACAUUAUAAGUCAAGGGAGUGUUUUCUGCAUUUCUGUUGCUUAUGCGGCAGAUUUUAUUAAAGAAAGCAUGAGGGCUGCAGCAUUUAGUUGGAUCACUGGACUUUUUUCUGCUUCUCAUCUCUUGGGCAAUGUUCUGGCACGUUUUCUUCCUGAGAAGUACAUUUUUCUGGUUUCAGUUGUUCUCUUGAUCAGUUGCCCAGUUUAUAUGCAAUUCUUUCUAGUUGAGACAAUUGAACGAACUCCAGCUAGGGACCAAGAUUCAACCUUCUUGAUUAAGAUUAUUAAAGUUUUUCAAACACGAUAUAAAUCAAUGAAGGAUGCGGCAACAAUAGUCUUUAGCAGCCAUACACUUAGAGGCAUUUCUUUUGUUUCCUUUUUCUAUGAGUUGGGGAUGUCCGGCAUCAGCAUCGUCUUAUUUUAUUAUCUGAAGGCAGCAUUUGGUUUUAGCAAAAAUCAAUAUUCAGAAAUUCUGGCAAUGGUGGAAGUUGGUGAAAUUUUAUCUCAGAUUGUGUUGCUUCCUGUUAUCAAUCCUUUGGUUGGAGAGAAAGUGAUACUGUGUCUCGGCUUACUUGCAUCAAUAGCUUAUGCAUUGUUCUACGGUUUGGCGUGGGCAUCUUGGGUGGCAUAUUUGAGUGCCUCUUUCGGAGCCAUUUAUGUCCUUGUGACACCUUCUACCUAUGCUAUAGUUUCCAAAGCAUCAAGCUCAGCAGAUCAGGGAAAAGCACAAGGAUUUGUUGCUGGUGUGCAAUCAGUAGCAAGUUUGUUAUCCCCUCUGGCAAUGAGUCCAUUAACUUGUGAGUUGUUGAGCAUGGUUUCUAUCUAGCAAUGCCCCAUUCAACUGCAAAGGUUUCAGCAUCAUAAUUGCAUCACUAUGCAUGAUGGUUGCUUUAUGCAUUGCUUGCCUGCUUAAACUGGAGCAACAUUCAACGCGGGCGGAAGACACUGAAACAACACAUUUUAUCUGAAAAUUAAUUUUCUACGCGAUCGAUUAGUUUUCUGAGACAAAUGAUGUUAAUAUGCAUGUGACAUUUAUUAGUCAUAUAGUGGAUGUAUUUGUAUUAGUGUAAAUGUUUUGUUGACAUUGAUGAGAUUUGACGAAUCUUAAUGUCACUAUUAGUAUUUAGGCUA
RNA transcript from Hevea brasiliensis (rubber tree), 1732 nucleotides. RefSeq lists it as uncharacterized. The transcript is spliced from 15 exons. Lineage: Eukaryota; Viridiplantae; Streptophyta; Magnoliopsida; Malpighiales; Euphorbiaceae. The record is from RefSeq and is a predicted model, not a curated record.